AUUUAACCUUUUAAAAUAUAUGAGCAAUAAAUAUUUAAGUUUCUAAUAACUCGUAUCUUUUUAAUUAAAAUCAUAGUUAACAAAGUUUGUGGAACAUUAAUAUGCUGGUUUCAUAACAGGCUGCCUGAUAGAUUGUCAAUAACUUGGCCUGAAGGAGAUGAAUUAUUGCCUAAUGAAAUUAGGCCUGCUGGAACCCCUAUUGGUGCAUUAAGAAUUGAAAUACUGAAUAAAAAAGGGGAAGCAAUGCAAAAGCUUCCAGGAACAAGCCACGGAGGGUCAAAGAAACUCCUGGUUGAGCUCAAAGUUAUUUUACAUUCUUCAAGUGGAAAUAAAGAGAUUAUUUCGCAUAUUAGUCAACAUGGAGGAAAAUGGCCUUACUGGUUUAAAAAAAUGGGUGAGUUCUUAUUCUGAAUGUUAAAAAAUACAUUGGUAUUGUGUUGACUUGAUUUUUAAUUUCUUCUUAAUUUAUCCAGAAAAUAUUCAGAAGUUGGGGAAUUAUACCUUGAAAUUACAAGUUGUAUUGAAUGAAAGUAAUGCAGACACUUAUGCAGGAAGACCACUACCAUCUAAAGCAAUUAAGUUUUCUGUUAAAGAGGGUAAGCCAGAGAAAUUUUCAUUUGGUCUU
This 625-nucleotide small RNA is filed under the name Pongo abelii (Sumatran orangutan). RNAcentral describes it as "retained intron". The record is from RNAcentral. Lineage: Eukaryota; Metazoa; Chordata; Mammalia; Primates; Hominidae.